Molecule: ribosomal RNA, 328 nt
Filed under: uncultured eukaryote
Lineage: Eukaryota
Description: partial 18S ribosomal RNA
Rfam family: Eukaryotic small subunit ribosomal RNA
Source: RNAcentral
CCCUUAGAUGUUCUGGGCUGCACGCGCGCUACACUGAUGCUUUCAUCGAGUAUAUAACCUUACCAGACAUGGUUGGGUAAUCUUUUGAAACAGCAUCGUGAUGGGGAUAGAUUAUUGUAAUUAUUAGUCUUCAACGAGGAAUUCCUAGUAAGCGCGAAUCAUCAGUUCGUGCUGAUUACGUCCCUGCCCUUUGUACACACCGCCCGUCGCUCCUACCGAUUGAGUGGUCCGGUGAGGCUUUGGGAUCUGAGCGGAAAGAGCGUUUCGCUGUUUCUGCUCGGAAAACUCAGUCGAACCUUAUCAUUUAGAGGAAGGAGAAGUCGUAACA